RNAcentral lists this ribosomal RNA (460 nucleotides) under uncultured bacterium. RNAcentral describes it as "bacterial SSU rRNA". It matches the Rfam family "Bacterial small subunit ribosomal RNA", at positions 355 to 829 of the family's 1533-position model. The record is from RNAcentral.
UGGGGAAUUUUGCGCAAUGGGCGAAAGCCUGACGCAGCAACGCCGCGUGGAGGAUGAAGAUAUUCGUAUCGUAAACUCCUGUCGUGGGGGACGAAGGAAGUGACUGUACCCUGUGAGGAAGCCACGGCUAACUCCGUGCCAGCAGCCGCGGUAAUACGGGGGUGGCAAGCGUUGUUCGGAAUUAUUGGGCGUAAAGGGCGCGUAGGCGGCGUUACAAGUUGGAUGUGAAAGCCCCGGGCUUAACCUGGGAACUGCAUCCAAUACUGUAAUGCUUGAGUUUUGGAGGGGGCAGUGGAAUUCCCAGUGUAGCGGUGAAAUGCGUAGAUAUUGGGAGGAACACCAGCGGCGAAGGCGGCUGCCUGGACAGGAACUGACGCUGAGGCGCGAAGGCCAGGGGAGCGAACGGGAUUAGAUACCCCGGUAGUCCUGGCGGUAAACGAUGGGUACUUGGUGUUGGGGG